This is a non-coding RNA of Styela clava, 1861 nucleotides long. The record is from RefSeq and is a predicted model, not a curated record. Lineage: Eukaryota; Metazoa; Chordata; Ascidiacea; Stolidobranchia; Styelidae.
AGAACAUAGUUUCAACGUAAAGUAAAGUAUUUCUAUUACCAACAUCAUGAAACGGAUUGCUUAUUACACCCUAUGUGCGUUGUUUGUGCUGGUCAUCUGCAUUUUGUAUUCGGAUGCAAGAAACUCUCAUGCAGUCUUUCGAAUGUACAAGAAGAUGCGAACAAAAUGUUUGAACUUCUACUGUCCAGCGCUGGAAGAAGAAAAAAGUUGUCAUCAAUUCAACACGAGAGGCGAAAGAAAACUUUGUCGAUUCUGCUGGAAGCAUUUUUGUCAGCCCGGAAGAGAAUGGUCUAUUUUCAAGUUGAAAACGCGUUCAUUUUCUACAGCAUGAAUAUAAAUAUUAGAGAUAUAACUGAUUUCCCGUAUCAAGGGAAGGGUGCUUUAUUUACCGAGCAUUCAUUAUCUUCAAUCGCGCUGCUUUGUUUUUUAAAGUGAUGUAAGUCAACGGCAUUGUUCGACAAGAGUAGGCAAGAUAUAUAUAUAAUAUGAUCCUGCUGAUAAAUUACUUGAUUCAACUAUUGGAAUAAUAAACAAAAUAUAUGUUUAAAAAACGAACAAGUAACCUGUCGCUCAGAGCUGUAUAAGUCGGGAUAAGUCAAGAAAAGUACAUACAAUAAGUCUUUGAAAAACAAAAAAAUUCAAUGCAAGUUGCAAAUAUGGCAUAUAGAUAGACACAUGUUUUAGGAGUUUUGUUCUGUUAGUAAAAACUUUUUCAAUAAAAAGAAUCCCAAUUUUUUUAUUUGUGAAAACCGUUGCUAUAAUUCUUGUCUAAAAAUGCAUGGCGAUAUAAAAUCAGAUUUUCAUGACUUUGGGAAGUUUUUCAAUUUUUCUGUUGAUUUCAUUAAACGAAACUAAAAUGGCUGCUCAAUGCUCAAUCAACAUAAUGAGGAAAAACGGUUGACUGGCGUCCAAAUUCGAAAGUUCUGAUGCAAAACCACAGUACAUCAAUGCAGCUGGAAUUCCUAUACGGUAUCUUGGGUGGUAAUACUAUCUAAUAUCAUGGGGUGAUAAGUCUUUUAAAACAUAUGAUUCACCGUGAAGACGUACUUUUUCCGCGAUUGACUUCUAUCAAUCUGCAAUUGCGAAACUCACCCACUGCUAGAAGUUAAAAAAAUUAUUUGCAAUAACAGCUUGUUUUCUUCGAGACAUUCUCUAAUAAUGAAUCAUUUAUAUUCAUCGAACACCCAUAUGAAUCAUUUGCUGACGGACGUUGGUCUUAUGAACAUCAGCUGGAUGUGAUUUGUAUCCUGAUAUAUGUGAAUACGAACUUUUGGCAUUGGUAAUAGUAUGGUUGUCAAGAAUUGACUAUCUUAUGUAUUAAAUUUACUGUGUUGUAUUCGAUUCUUCAAAUAGGCUACUCAGCACGAUUAAUAUGCUCAAACGCUGCUUGCAUUAUUUACUGCUCGCCCUUAUUUUUACGUUGCUUGAAGAAGACGAAUCCAUAAAAAUAUCAACACUGGCGGAAAGUUUGCUUGUAUAUCAGUAUGUCUACAUUUUUAUUUCACUCGAUAUACUCAACACCAAAUACCCAAAUAACAGCACGAUGAUUACUCACUCGACACGAUCGUGGUAACGAUUUUCCUGUCGAAGAUAAAUGUGACAUCCACAAGUGACACGAAAGAACAUCAAUUAUUCAAUAAAUUCAUAUUCUUUAAUUGAUCAAUAAUUUAUGUGUAUACAUAUCAUGCUUUAUAUAUAUUUUGUAGUCUUUGGUAAAAAUGAAUGCUAACAAAUUUUUUCGUUUUUGUCAUUUAUGGGCAUAACAUUUUAAGACCAGUGGCAUCGUGUUUCGAUUAAUGAUUACUAAAAUUUGGCUUAGUCAUAUAUUUAGUAUUUUGGAAUAAAUAUUCGAAAAAUAGCA